Molecule: ribosomal RNA, 492 nt
Filed under: uncultured bacterium
Lineage: Bacteria
Description: partial 16S ribosomal RNA
Rfam family: Bacterial small subunit ribosomal RNA
Source: RNAcentral
AGUGAACGCUGGCGGUAGGCCUAACACAUGCAAGUCGAACGGCAGCACAGUAAGAGCUUGCUCUUACGGGUGGCGAGUGGCGGACGGGUGAGGAAUACAUCGGAAUCUACUUUUUCGUGGGGGAUAACGUAGGGAAACUUACGCUAAUACCGCAUACGACCUACGGGGGAAAGCAGGGGAGCUUCGGACCUUGCGCGAUUGAAUGAGCCGAUGUCGGAUUAGCUAGUUGGCGGGGUAAAGGCCCACCAAGGCGACGAUCCGUAGCUGGUCUGAGAGGAUGAUCCGCCACACUGGAAGUGAGACACGGCCCAGACUCCUACGGGAGGCAGCAGUGGGGAAUAUUGGACAAUGGGCGCAAGCCUGAUCCAGCCAUACCGCGUGGGUGAAGAAGGCCUUCGGGUUGUAAAGCCCUUUUGUUGGGAAAGAAAAGCAGCAGGUUAAUACCCCGCUGUUCUGACGGUACCCAAAGAAUAAGCACCGGCUAACUUCGUG